AACCAAUCAUAGUGUUAUGAGUCAAAUUACACAUUGUGUAUAUUUUUACAGUGAGCAGCCACAGGCAGUAUAGCAAUUAGGGGCAUAAUUUACUAAUACUAAGUAAUCUUUUAGUAGAUAGCUCCCUAAUACCGUGGGAAUUAGGGAGUUUUCUACUUAUUCAUUCCUGUCAUUACAUUGACUGGCCAAGUAACUUACAUUUUAUAUGAAUGUAUGUUACUUGAUUGUGUUGUGUUGCAAAUGCUUACAGCUGAAUCCUGGCUAUGUUUGUAUACUUUUUAUUUAAAAUUGUAACAUUCUUCUUCUUACACUGGAUAAGUAUAUCAGUACUUAGGCAAAACUGUGCUUUGGCAAUUCGUCACUUCGGAACUUCAGAACUUCGUCACUUCGACACUUCGGAAAUUCUGUAAUUUCGGAACUUCGGGACCUCGGUAAUUCGCCAUUUUGGCUAUUCGGACAUUCGGAAGCACCCAGCUCUUCUUGGGAAGUAGUAGAAGGGACUAGUGGACCCCAGCACUCUGAUUGGUUGGUUUGAAAUCCACCAAUCAGAGUGCUCUGUGUCAAUUUACACAGCAUGGGAAAGGAAGCACCUGAAUGUCCGAAUUGCCCGAAAAUAGUCCGAAUACAUAUUCGGCCCGACACGAAUUGCAC
Non-coding RNA from Pelobates cultripes (western spadefoot toad), 651 nucleotides. Lineage: Eukaryota; Metazoa; Chordata; Amphibia; Anura; Pelobatidae. The record is from the annotation of a GenBank genome assembly.